AUGGCGAAGACGCAACCCCGCGGCCCGGCGGCGGAGCCGCUGCUCCCCCCGCCGCCGUACCUCAGCCCCCACUCGCCGGCCGACUUCCACGACGCCGACGACUCCUACGUCCUCCUCGUCCCGGUGCGGCUCCGGCGCCGCCUGCGCCGGGGCUGCGGCCGCGGCCGCGUCGCCGCGGCCCUCGCCGCCCUCGCGCUCCUCGCCCUCGCCUUCCUCCUCUGGCCCUCCGACCCCGGCGUCAGCGUCGCGCGCCUCCGCCUCGCGCACGUCUCCGUCGUCGCCCGCCCCGCCGUCGCCCUCAACGUCUCCGCCGCGCUCAAGGCCCGCGUCCGCAACCCCAACCUCUUCGCGCUCGACUACAGCCGCCUCGACGUCGCCAUCGGCUACCGCGGCCGGCCGCUCGGCACCGUCGCCUCCGGCGGCGGCCUCGUCCGCGCGCGCGCCGUCUCCUACGUCGACGCCGACCUCCGCCUCGACGGGAUCCGCGUCGUCGAGGACGCCAUCUACCUGCUCGAGGACCUCGCGCGCGGGUCCAUACCCUUCGACGCUGUCGUCGAGGUCGAGGGCCACCUCCACUUCUUCCUCAGCAUCCCGGUCAAGGGGAGAAUAGCAUGUGUGGUUCAUGUUAAUCCACACGAUCAGACCAUAGUACACCAGGACUGCUAUCCAAAGGUAAUGAACUUUGAACUCAGUUUACCGUCUCAAAGCCGAGUGCAAAGUUUCCAGAAUCUGACCUGUUCAUGUUUUCUACCAGUGAGUUGGUGA
Molecule: ribosomal RNA, 765 nt
Filed under: Triticum aestivum (bread wheat)
Lineage: Eukaryota; Viridiplantae; Streptophyta; Magnoliopsida; Poales; Poaceae
Description: partial small subunit ribosomal RNA
Source: RNAcentral